Molecule: ribosomal RNA, 447 nt
Filed under: uncultured bacterium
Lineage: Bacteria
Description: partial 16S ribosomal RNA
Rfam family: Bacterial small subunit ribosomal RNA
Source: RNAcentral
UGCCAGACUCCUACGGGAGGCAGCAGUGGGGGAUAUUGCACAAUGGGGGGAACCCUGAUGCAGCGACGCCGCGUGGGUGAAGAAGCGCCUCGGCGCGUAAAGCCCUAUCGGCAGGGAAGAAGGAGGAAGGUACCUGACUAAGAAGCCCCGGCUAACUACGUGCCAGCAGCCGCGGUAAUACGUAGGGGGCAAGCGUUAUCCGGAUUUACUGGGGGUAAAGGGGGCGCAGACGGCAGCGCAAGCCAGGAGUGAAGGCCCGGGGCCCAACCCCGGGACUGCUCUUGGAACUGCGCGGCUGGAGUGCAGGAGGGGCAGGCGGAAUUCCUGGUGUAGCGGUGAAAUGCGUAGAUAUUAGGAGGAACACCGGUGGCGAAGGCGGCCUGCUGGACGACGACUGACGCUGAGGCUCGAAAGCGUGGGGAGCAAACAGGAUUAGAUACCCGCGUA